UCUCCUCCCUCAAAAGUUAUAUUUUCUAUGUUGCUCGAAGUUUGGGUACUUGCCAGAGGAUGGCUUCCCUCCCUGCCUCAACGUAUUCCACAUAAUUCAAUGUGAGAUUUUGAAGGAUGGAUCCUCUUUUGCGGGCAACUACUGGCACCUCAUCCAAGAAAUCCCACUCAUUGUGAUUAAUCUAGUUCGGAUCCAACAGGAAGAUUUCUCUCCACUGUUUUAAGUUUUGCUCUUCAGAAGAUCCCACUGUCAUCUGUGUCUGGCAAAAUCUCUUGGGCUGAUCAAAUGCAAAUACUGUUGAGGAAAGGCGGAGAGGAGCAAUCAGGAGACUAUGCUUUGUUGCUCUGUUGAGUAAUCCUAAAAGUCUCACGUCUGCCACGAAGUAUUUUGAUUUAAAAUUGCAAGAAGGUCAUCAUCCAAUACCACUUGCAACCCAGUUAUCUUGGGUAGGCAAGUCUCAUCGUUAUCCCACUAAGCUGCCAGAGCUUUAGUUAAUCUUCACAAAACCUAGCUCAGACUUUUGGAUGAAAAAUAUGAGGACUGUGGAAAGACUAUCAAUGGUGGAGGAUGUAAGAAGCGUGGAGUAUUCUGUUUCCCUUGUCUCUAAUUUCUCCUUGGAUGAGAAACAUGAGGAACAUGGAAAGAUUAUCAAGUGAUCUCUCUCUCCUCGCUCAAACAACUAUCUUUUGUAGGUUACUGGUACUUGCCAGAGGAUGGCUUUGCUCCCUGCUCCAAGUAUUCGUCAUAAUGCAAUGUGAAAUUCUGAAAGAUUGAUGCUCAAAACUCAUAGUGAUGACUGUUGGCACCCUAUCCAAGAAAUCCCUUUCAUUGUAGUUGAUUGAGUUUGGAUUCAAUAAGAAGAUUUCUCUGCAAUGUCUAAUUUUUAUUCUUCAGAAUAUCUCACCGUCUUCUUUAUUUGGCAAACUCUCUCAGAAGGAUCAAAUGCAAACACUGUUGAGGAAAGGGAAAGAAGAGCAAUCAGGGAGACUAUACUUUGUCACUCCGUUACGUCAUCAUGAAAGCCUCACGUUUGCCACGAUGUAUUUUGAUAUAAGAUUGUGAGAAGACUGUUAUCCAAUACUACUCACAACCAUUUAUAUAUGGUAGGCAAGUUUCGUUACUAUGACCCUACCAAGCUGCCAGAGCUCCCAUCACGGAUAAGACAAGAUUCAUGCGCCAUCAUCGCUAGGGGGUUAUCCUUGUGUCCUCGCGUUCGUGAAAUAUCAGCUUGUGCCAAUAGGCCACAAUCACUGGUGAUCAGCGAUCCCCCAUAGUUUUGCAUUAGCAUUAUCAUUCAGGAAAAACAAAAUCAUCAAAACAAUCACAUUUUUUAGGCUUGCAAUGGGAAGUACCCUGGUAUGUCUUGUAGA
Long non-coding RNA from Eucalyptus grandis, 1370 nucleotides. RefSeq lists it as uncharacterized. NCBI's taxonomy places the organism in Eukaryota, Viridiplantae, Streptophyta, Magnoliopsida, Myrtales, Myrtaceae. The record is from RefSeq and is a predicted model, not a curated record. The transcript has 6 exons.